AGUUACAGUAAUCCACUUAGCUUGCCUUCACAUGAAAGAAUGAAUGAGAAUGUUGGAUUCGGUCACGUUCCAAAGCGUAUUUUUUUUUAUAAAUAAAAGUAUUACUCAGAACAACAUUAUUGGGAGGGACACUUUAACCCGUUUCUAAUAUUGAGCGGGACAUGUCUCCCCCGGCUCCUACGCCCUUGCCUGUUCCCAAGAUACAUUUAGUGUAGAAGUGUUCCUGGUUUGACGGUGGAUGGAUCAGUCUUCAGCAGGGUCACAUCAGAGAUGUUCUUUUCCUUGGCUCUUUUGCAUUUACUGACCCCAGAUGCCUCAUCCAGCUCCCCUGUGGGACUCUUUCUUUUACCCUGCUGCUUCUGUGGGAUUAACCUGGGGUCAUUGGAAGCCCAGAUCCUGGAAACCGCUUUGGAUGUCUUGGGCUGAUUCACCUUCUCUGCAAGAAAACGGUCCUUCAGCUGCAGCCAGGGAAGAUAGGACACCUGACCACCUUUUGCACUGUCCUCUACAUGAAGAACAGCACUCUGGGACAGUUGAGUCAGGUUUGGACUCCUCACAGCCUUCUGAACUGAGCUCUGACCAUUACUGAACUCAUUGCUGCCAGACGUAUUCACUGACAUCCCAGCUAGCCUCUUUCUCUCUAAAUGCUGUUUAUAGGUCUUGGUUUGUCUCACCAUCUGUUCGGCUGGAAAACAUAUCUUCAACAGCCGCCAAGGGAGAUAGGAUGUGACCUGAAAUGUGUGGAGAGUCCGUUGAUUUAAGGACUCAAUGCUUAAUGGCAAAGCUGACAUUUAUGUUUAGG
Esox lucius (northern pike) is the source of this 802-nucleotide long non-coding RNA. The record is from Ensembl. NCBI's taxonomy places the organism in Eukaryota, Metazoa, Chordata, Actinopteri, Esociformes, Esocidae.